This 511-nucleotide ribosomal RNA is filed under the name Semitobrilus pellucidus. RNAcentral describes it as "partial 28S ribosomal RNA". It matches the Rfam family "Eukaryotic large subunit ribosomal RNA", at positions 655 to 1146 of the family's 3401-position model. The record is from RNAcentral. Lineage: Eukaryota; Metazoa; Nematoda; Enoplea; Triplonchida; Tobrilidae.
UGAAACACGGACCAAGGAGUCUAACAUGUUCGCAAGUCAUUGGGUUGUAAAACCCAAAGGCAUAAUGAAAGUGAAGAUCAGUUCUGCUGGUCGAGGUGGGAUCUCUCUUCAAGGGAGCGCACCACCGUCCCAUCGCAUUUGCUCGUCAAAGCGGUGGAGAAAGAGCGUACAUGUUGGGACCCGAAAGAUGGUGAACUAUGCCUGAGCAGGAUGAAGCCAGAGGAAACUCUGGUGGAGGUCCGUAGCGGUUCUGACGUGCAAAUCGAUCGUCAGACUUGGGUAUAGGGGCGAAAGACUAAUCGAACCAUCUAGUAGCUGGUUCCCUCCGAAGUUUCCCUCAGGAUAGCUGGCACUUAAACGCAGUUUUACCCGGUAAAGCGAAUGAUUAGAGGCCUUGGGGACGAAACGACCUCAACCUAUUCUCAAACUUUAAAUGGGUAAGAAGUCUCGCUUGCCUGACCGAAGCUCAGACAUUGAAUGCGAGUGCCAAGUGGGCCAUUUUUGGUAAGCA